GACGAACGCUGGCGGCGUGCUUAACACAUGCAAGUCGAACGGAAAGGCCCUGCUUUUGUGGGGUGCUCGAGUGGCGAACGGGUGAGUAACACGUGAGUAACCUGCCCUUGACUUUGGGAUAACUUCAGGAAACUGGGGCUAAUACAGGAUAGGAGCUCCUGCUGCACGGGGGGGGAUGGAAAGAUUCGGCGGUGGGGGAUGGAAUCGCGGCUUAUCAGCUUGAUGGUGGAGUAGUGGCGUACAAAGGCUUUGACGGGUAGCCGGCCUGAGAGGGUGACCGGCCACCAUGGGCCUGCGGUACGGCGCAGACUCCUACGGGCCGCAGCGGUGGGGAGUCUUGCGCAAUGGCCCCACGCCUGAUGCAGCGGCGCCGCGUGCGGGAUGCCGGCUUUCGAGUUGUAAACCGCUUUCGCCUGUGCCGAGGCGUGAUUGACGGUAAUGGGUCAAGAAGCACCGGCUAACUACGUG
RNAcentral lists this ribosomal RNA (468 nucleotides) under uncultured bacterium. RNAcentral's name for it is "partial 16S ribosomal RNA". It matches the Rfam family "Bacterial small subunit ribosomal RNA", at positions 28 to 507 of the family's 1533-position model. The record is from RNAcentral.